AUUGAACGCUGGCGGCAGGCCUAACACAUGCAAGUCGAGCGAGCGGCGGACGGGGGAGUAAUGUCUGGGAAACUGCCCGAGGGAGGGGGAUAACUACUGGAAACGGUAGCUAAUACCGCAUACGAUCAGAUAUGCCCAGAGGGGAUUAGCUAGUAGGUGGGGGAACGGCUCACCUAGGCGACGAUCCCUAGCUGGUCUGAGAGGAUGACCAGCCACACUGGAACUGAGAAACGGUCCAGACUCCUACGGGAGGCCGCAGUGGGUAAUAUUGCACAAUGGGCGCAAGCCUGAUGCAGCCAUGCCGCGUGUGUGAAGAAGGCCUUCGGGUUGUAAAGCACUUUCAGCGGGGAGGCGUUACCCGCAGAAGAAGCACCGGCUAACUCCGUGCCAGCAGCCGCGGUAAUUC
Molecule: ribosomal RNA, 406 nt
Filed under: uncultured bacterium
Lineage: Bacteria
Description: partial 16S ribosomal RNA
Rfam family: Bacterial small subunit ribosomal RNA
Source: RNAcentral